AGUCACUGACAUUAGAUACCCGGGUAGUCCAGGGUGUAAACGCUGCAGACUUGGUGUUGGAAGCCCUUUGGGGCAUUCAGUGCCGGAGAGAAGUUGUUAAGUCUGCUACUUGGGGAGUACGUCCGCAAGGAUGAAACUUAAAGGAAUUGGCGGGGGAGCACCGCAACGGGAGGAGCGUGCGGUUUAAUUGGAUUCAACACCGUAAACUCACCAGGGAAGACUGUUACAUGAAGGCCGAGAUGAAGACUCUGCCAGAUUUUCAG
This 263-nucleotide ribosomal RNA is filed under the name uncultured archaeon. Its description in RNAcentral is "partial 16S ribosomal RNA". It matches the Rfam family "Archaeal small subunit ribosomal RNA", at positions 719 to 982 of the family's 1478-position model. The record is from RNAcentral.